Molecule: unclassified non-coding RNA, 249 nt
Filed under: rhizosphere metagenome
Description: partial ribosomal RNA internal transcribed spacer region
Source: RNAcentral
GAAUAUAAUUCGAGGGGUUGUCGCUGGCCUCGCUCGCGCGAGGCAUGUGCACGCUUCUCGUUUUUCUCUCAACUCACCUGUGCACCUAAUGUAGGAUGCCUCUCCUCCGGGAGGGGGGACCUAUGUCUUCGUAACAUCUUCGUGUAGAAAGUCUUUGAAUGUUUACUAUCAUCGAGUCGCGACUUCUAGGAGACGCGAUUCUUUGAGAUAAAAGUUAUUACAACUUUCAGCAACGGAUCUCUUGGCUCU